CUCAGGAUGAACGCUAGCGACAGGCUUAACACAUGCAAGUCGAGGGGCAGCAUAAAAGUAGCAAUACUUGGUGGCGACCGGCGCACGGGUGAGUAACGCGUAUGCAACCUACCUAUCGAGAGGGGAAUAACCCGGCGAAAGUCGGACUAAUACCGCAUAAAACAGGGGCACCGCAUGGUGAUAUUUGUUAAAGAAAUUCGCUGAUAGAUGGGCAUGCGUUCCAUUAGGUAGUUGGUGAGGUAACGGCUCACCAAGCCGACGAUGGAUAGGGGAACUGAGAGGUUGGUCCCCCACACUGGUACUGAGACACGGACCAGACUCCUACGGGAGGCAGCAGUGAGGAAUAUUGGUCAAUGGGCGGGAGCCUGAACCAGCCAAGUCGCCGUGAAGGAAGAAGGAUCUAUGGUUCGUAAACUUCUUUUGCAGGGGAAUAAAGUGCAGGACGUGUCCUGUUUUGUAUGUACCCUGAGAAUAAGGAUCGGCUAACUCCGUGCCAGCCGCUGC
This 504-nucleotide ribosomal RNA is filed under the name uncultured bacterium. Its description in RNAcentral is "bacterial SSU rRNA". It matches the Rfam family "Bacterial small subunit ribosomal RNA", at positions 23 to 518 of the family's 1533-position model. The record is from RNAcentral.